UCUGCCUUCAAUACUCAUGUCCUUCCUGGUAGGAAAAGGUUGAUUAAUCUCCUUAAGAUAUUCACCUUCAUGGUUCCAGGUUCAUCAACAGUAUCUAGCCUUUCAAUGGUUGGGCUUUCAGUGUUAUUUCACUGAUGCACCUCUCUGAUGAGGGUUCCUGGCAUAGCUAGACUACAUCUAAGGGAAAUUUUAUAGAUCCAUGAACUUCAAAGUGAUUUUCAUCAAGAUCUUGUGAUCAAACCUUGCAAGUACAGUUCUAACAAUACUAGAGAAACUUGGAAUUGAUGAUCUGUUGCAUUUUGAUGCUCCUCACACACAUAUGACUAUAAUUUAUCCUGCACAUGCACAUGGG
This 352-nucleotide unclassified non-coding RNA is filed under the name Hevea brasiliensis (rubber tree). The record is from RNAcentral. Lineage: Eukaryota; Viridiplantae; Streptophyta; Magnoliopsida; Malpighiales; Euphorbiaceae.